RNAcentral lists this ribosomal RNA (1606 nucleotides) under seawater metagenome. RNAcentral's name for it is "bacterial LSU rRNA". It matches the Rfam family "Bacterial large subunit ribosomal RNA", at positions 857 to 2498 of the family's 2925-position model. The record is from RNAcentral.
CCCCGAAAUACGUUGAGGCGUAGCGUCUCGUGCUCCAGCAGGGGGGUAAAGCCACCAUUUCGGUGCGGGCUGCGAGAGCGGUACCAAAUCGAGAUGAACUCUGAAUACCCUGUGUGUAGCGAGGCAGUCAGACUGUGGGGGAUAAGCUCCAUGGUCGAGAGGGAAACAGCCCAGACCGCCAGCUAAGGUCCCCAAAUCAACACUAAGUGAUAAAGGAGGUGGGAUUGCCCAGACAACCAGGAGGUUUGCCUAGAAGCAGCCAUCCUCAAAGGAGUGCGUAAUAGCUCACUGGUCGAGCGAUCCUGCACCGAAAAUGAACGGGGCUAAGUGUUGUACCGAAGCUGCGGAUUUAUGGUAGGGGAGCGUUCUAUGUGGGGCGAAGCGUUAGCGUGAGCGGGCGUGGACUGCAUAGAAGUGAGAAUGUCGGCUUGAGUAGCGAAAACAUGGGUGAGAAUCCCAUGCACCGAAACCCUAAGGGUUCCUCCGGCAGGCUCGUCCGCGGAGGGUUAGUCUGGACCUAAGGCGAGGCCGAAAGGCGUAGUCGGUGGAUAACAGGUCAACAUUCCUGUACCGGUUAUGUUUUGGGAAGAGGGACGGAGAAGGCUAGCCAAGCCAGAUGUUGGUUACUGGUUCAAGCGUUCGAGGCGUUGAGGAUCGGCGAAAACGAUCCGAGCUGAGGCGUGAGUACGAGCUGCUACGGCAGCGAAGUUGGUGACGUCAUGCUUCCAAGAAAAGCUCUAUACCCGUUAAGACAUGAUUGCCAGUACCCGAAACCGACACAGGUGGGGUGGUAGAGAAUACCGAGGUGCGCGAGGUAACUCUCUCUAAGGAACUCGGCAAAAUGGCCCCGUAACUUCGGGAGAAGGGGUGCCACAGCAAUGUGGUCGCAGUGAAGAGGCCCUGGCGACUGUUUACCAAAAACACAGGUCUCCGCUAAGUCGCAAGACGAUGUAUGGGGGCUGACGCCUGCCCAGUGCCGGAAGGUUAAGGAAGCCGGUCAGCGUAAGCGAAGCUGGCGACUGAAGCCCCGGUGAACGGCGGCCGUAACUAUAACGGUCCUAAGGUAGCGAAAUUCCUUGUCGGGUAAGUUCCGACCCGCACGAAAGGCGUAACGAUCAGGGCGCUGUCUCGGAGAGAGGCUCGGCGAAAUAGAAUUGUCUGUGAAGAUGCGGACUACAUACACCCGGACAGAAAGACCCUAUGAAGCUUUACUGUAGCUUGGUAUUGUGCCCGGGCUCUGAAUGCGCAGGAUAGGUGGGAGACGUUGAUCUAGUGCUCGUGGGUACUAGGGAGUCAAUGGUGAGAUACCACUCUUUCAGAGCUAGGGUUCUAACGUUCACCCGUUAUCCGGGGAGCGGACAGUAUCAGGUGGGCAGUUUGACUGGGGCGGUCGCCUCCUAAAAGGUAACGGAGGCGCGCAAAGGUUUCCUCAGGCUGGUUGGAAAUCAGCCGACGAGUGCAAAAGCAGAAGGAAGCUUGACUGUGAGACCUACAAGUCGAACAGGGACGAAAGUCGGCUUUAGUGAUCCGACGGUUCUGAGUGGAAGGGCCGUCGCUCAACGGAUAAAAGUUACUCUAGGGAUAACAGGCUGAUCUCCCCCAAGAG